ACGAAGAGACUUUACAAAAACGAUUGUUGAGUGAAUGAAAAAUUCACAACCACAAAAUGCAUAUGUUGCAAGAAACGUAAAAAAGAGGUGGAGCCCAGCGUAAGACGUGACUUGCUUAUUGCUUACACGGAGUUCACAAUUAACUUUGAAAAAUUUAUCUCGGUUGCAGGUAGCCUCUAUCUAUAAAGACCCAAGUAUUGGAAAUUUAAUUAAUAUUGUUAUUGUGAACUUAAUUGUGAUUCAUAAUGAACAGGUAAUAAAGUUUUUUUCUUUUUUCUUCUAUCUGUAUCCGAAAUGGCAUGUCUAAUUGGUAUUGGUACAACAGAUUAACCAUAAUUCUUCUCUGUAUUUAGGAUGGGCCUUCCAUAUCUUUUAAUGCUCAGACAACAUUAAAAAACUUUUGCCAGUGGCAGCAUUCGAAGAACAGUCCAGGUGGAAUCCAUCAUGAUACUGCUGUUCUCUUAACAAGACAGGAUAUCUGCAGAGCUCACGACAAAUGUGAUACCUUAGGCCUGGCUGAACUGGGAACCAUUUGUGAUCCCUACAGAAGCUGUUCUAUUAGUGAAGAUAGUGGAUUGA
RNAcentral lists this small RNA (579 nucleotides) under Pongo abelii (Sumatran orangutan). RNAcentral's name for it is "retained intron". Lineage: Eukaryota; Metazoa; Chordata; Mammalia; Primates; Hominidae. The record is from RNAcentral.